GGGCGCCAUUUUGUGAGGGCGGCUAUAAAGGCGGCCCGGCGCCCGCCCGCCCGUUCAGUUGCUGCUGGGAGCGUAUCGGGUGUGUCUGCUCUGCGCCGGCCUCGCAGCUAACCCACGCGGACUCACUGCCGAGAGAGGCGCGGCCUGCCGCCGCCGCCACGGCCAGAGGAGGCCGCGGAUCCUGCUGAGGGCGAGGGCCCGCUCGCCGCUUCGCAGCCAUGAGCUACGGCCGCCCGCCUCCCGAUGUGGAGGGCAUGACCUCCCUCAAGGUGGACAACCUGACUUACCGCACCUCGCCCGACACGCUGAGGCGCGUCUUCGAGAAGUACGGCCGCGUCGGCGACGUGUACAUCCCGCGGGACCGCUACACCAAGGAGUCGCGCGGUUUCGCCUUCGUCCGCUUCCACGACAAGCGCGACGCCGAAGACGCCAUGGAUGCUAUGGAUGGGGCGGUGCUGGACGGCCGCGAGCUGCGGGUGCAGAUGGCGCGCUACGGCCGCCCGCCCGACUCGCACCACAGCCGCCGGGGCCCGCCACCGCGGAGGUAUGGCGGCGGCGGCUACGGACGGCGGAGCCGCAGCCCGAGGCGCCGUCGCCGCAGCCGGUCUCGAAGCCGGAGCCGUUCCAGGUCCCGGAGCCGCUCUCGCUACAGCCGCUCCAAGUCCCGGUCCCGCACUCGGUCCCGCUCGCGCUCCACCUCCAAGUCCAGAUCUGCGCGAAGAUCCAAGUCCAAGUCGUCCUCGGUCUCCAGAUCCCGCUCGCGGUCCAGGUCCAGGUCGAGAUCCAGAAGUCCUCCGCCCGUGUCCAAGAGGGAGUCCAAGUCUAGGUCGCGUUCCAAGAGCCCCCCCAAGUCUCCAGAGGAAGAAGGAGCAGUGUCCUCCUAAGAAAACGCUGCGGUCUCCUGUUUGAUAAAAGAAUAUUGGCCAGUAUUGCAGAUUUUAACUGAUUUGGCUGAUCCUCCAGGGACCAGUUUCUGUGGGCGUGUAUUGGAGCAGAUGAAUCGGCAAGCAGCUUAACAGAGGACUUUGGGGAAAGGACCACAAACUCAGUCCGUCGGUCAGUGGAAGAGUCCUUGGAACAAGCAACUGGCUAUUGAAAAGGUUAUUUUGUAACAUUUGUCUAACUUUUUACUUGUUUUAAUCUGCCUCAGGUGGCAAACAUCAUUUUAUGUGCCAUUGUGUUGCUGUUAUUCAAAUUUCUUGUAAUUUAGUGAGGUGAGCGACUUCAGAUUUCAUUAUUGGAUUGGAUAUUUGAGGUAAAAUUUCAUUUUUGUUUAUAGUGCUGACUUUUUUUGUUUGAAAUUAAACAGAUUGGUAACCUAAUUUGUGGCCUCCUGACUUAAUAAGGAAACGUUUGCAGCCAUUACACACAGCCUAAAGCUGUCAGCAGAUUGACUCAGCAUUGCCUUCACUCCUUAGAAUUAAAACAGUUGGUGUCAUUGUUUAUAUAUGUUAUUUACCUUCAGGUCUAAAUGAUAAUCUGAACCCAAAUUUGUAUAAAGACUUUUCAGGUGAAAAGACUUAUUUUUUUUGAAGGAUUGUUUACCAAAUACAAUUCUAAUCUCUUCUCUUAUGUAUUUUUGUGCACUAGGCGCAGUUGUGUAGCAGUUGAGUAAUGCUGGUUAGCUGUUAAGGUGGCGUGUUGCAGUGCAGAGUGCUUGGCUGUUUCCUGUUUUCUCCUGGUUGCUCCUGUGUAAAGAUGCCUUGUCGUGCAGAAACAAAUGGCUGUCCAGUUUAUUAAAAUGCCUGACAACUGCACUUCCAGUCACCCGGGCCUUGCAUAUAAAUAAUGGAGCAUACAGUGAGCACAUCUAGCUGAUGAUAAAUACACCCCCUCCCUCAAAAAAAUGGUAAAUCUGAUCCUCGUGUAUGAACUUAAUCAGAAAAUGUUAAGGAAGCAAAUGGUUUGUAACUUUGUAAGUACUUAAAAACAUGGUGUAUCUUUUGCUUAUGAAUAUUCUGUACUAUAACCAUUGUUUCUGUAGUUUGAUUAAAGUGUUUUCUGGUGUUA
RNA transcript from Microtus oregoni (creeping vole), 2010 nucleotides. It is a transcript of the gene named serine and arginine rich splicing factor 2, with no coding region annotated. The transcript is spliced from 4 exons. The record is from RefSeq and is a predicted model, not a curated record. Lineage: Eukaryota; Metazoa; Chordata; Mammalia; Rodentia; Cricetidae.